GAUGAACGCUGGCGGCGUGCCUAAUACAUGCAAGUCGUACGAACAGACGCUUUGCUUGCUCCUCUGACGUUAACGGCGUGCGUGUGACUAACAUGUCCAUCACCUACCUAUAAGACUUGGCUAACUUCGUGAAACCGGUGCUAAUACUGUAUUAUAUCUUCAUCCGCAUGGUUCAAUAGUUCCAGCCGUUUUUGCUGUCCUCUCUACCUGUCUCCUCGCGGCAUUAGUUAGUUGGUAGGGUAACGGCUUCCCAAGGCCACGAUGCGUAGCCGACCUGCGAGGGUGAAGGGCGACAGUGAGAGUGAGACACGGUACAGACUCCUAGGGGAGGCAGCAGUAGGGAAGGGUGGGAAAUGGGCGAAAGACUGACGGAGCAACGCAGGGUGGAUGAAGAAGGGCUGCGGAUCGGAAAACUCUGUUAGUGGGGAAGAACAAAUGUGGAAGGAACGAUGCAUGUCGUGACGGUACCUAAACAGAAAGCAACGGCUAACUACGUG
Molecule: ribosomal RNA, 497 nt
Filed under: uncultured bacterium
Lineage: Bacteria
Description: partial 16S ribosomal RNA
Rfam family: Bacterial small subunit ribosomal RNA
Source: RNAcentral